This 497-nucleotide ribosomal RNA is filed under the name uncultured bacterium. RNAcentral describes it as "partial 16S ribosomal RNA". It matches the Rfam family "Bacterial small subunit ribosomal RNA", at positions 28 to 507 of the family's 1533-position model. The record is from RNAcentral.
GAUGAACGCUGGCGGCGUGCCUAAUACAUGCAAGUCGAGCGAACAGACGAGGAGCUUGCUCCUCUGACGUUAGCGGCGGACGGGUGAGUAACACGUGGAUAACCUACCUAUAAGACUGGGAUAACUUCGGGAAACCGGAGCUAAUACCGGAUAAUAUAUUGAACCGCAUGGUUCAAUAGUGAAAGACGGUUUUGCUGUCACUUAUAGCUGGAUCCGCGCCGCAUUAGCUAGUUGGUAAGGUAACGGCUUACCAAGGCAACGAUGCGUAGCCGACCUGAGAGGGUGAUCGGCCACACUGGAACUGAGACACGGUCCAGACUCCUACGGGAGGCAGCAGUAGGGAAUCUUCCGCAAUGGGCGAAAGCUUGACGGAGCAACGCCGCGUGAGUGAUGAAGGUCUUCGGAUCGUAAAACUCUGUUAUUAGGGAAGAACAAAUGUGUAAGUAACUAUGCACGUCUUGACGGUACCUAAACAGAAAGCCACGGCUAACUACGUG